AUGGCAUGUGCUUUGGGGGGAGCUGGCUCCGGGACACGCAAGCUCACUGUAAAGGAGUGGUUUGUUUCCCUUUCCCCCACCUCCCCGGGGCCGGGCCCCCUCCUCCGCGUGGCCACCUCCGAAGAACACACGAUCGCUUGUUACAAGGAGGGACCUGCAGCCGCAGAGUUAGCAUCGCCUGGCCCGAUAGUACAUUUGAGAGCAAAUGACGUGGAAAAACAACAAGUUCACGGCCAUUCCAGGGCGGGCCUGAGCAGCAGCGCCCUGCUGUGUAAGCUGCCUCCUGCCCCCGCACCCGGUCCCUCUGCGGGGGGUGCGCGCGGACAGCUCCCUAUCUCUCAGGGGGCCGGGCAGUUCGCGUCUCAAGUUCCAACUUCGGUGAAUUUUCCCCAAAUCAUUCCAGAGACACAUACCAGAUAUGCUCCGGCUCCCCCGGCUCCCCCGGCUCCCCCAGCUGCCGGGACGUAUCACAUUCCUCGCUCCUCGACUGACACACUCGGCGGCUCCAAGAAAACCUACGGGAAAAAAAAAAAAAAAAAAAAAGAAAAGAAAAAAGUUGCUGCUUUCUGCUUCAUGCUUCCCGACCUGGGAAAGUGUCCUGCACAUCCUGCCAGUCUCAGUUAUCACACUGGGAUAUGACUACGUGCCUCCCCAACCAGACUUCAAGAUAUUUGAAGGUAGGGACUAUACCUUAGUCACCGCUGUGUCUCCCACACCCAGCAUGAUGCCUGGCAUAAAGUUUUGUUGAGUAAGGAAUAGAUGAAUACACUUUUACAGGUGUCGCCCAAAGAAUAAGCCACCACUCUGACUGGUGUCUUUGGCUGGGUUCGCAAAGAGGAGACAUGAGCUCUCAGCCUAGUAGCUAUAAUUGAGAAGGCAGGCCUAUACCAUGUGCAGAAAGUACAUGGUCCUCUCCUGGGCAUGAACAUGAAGGAGGGUCUUGUAGAGAAUUCCAAGCCUGUACCCAUAAGUAUCACCUGGAGGGCUUGCAGAACCUGUCCUGAUCCUACGAGGAGAGGGAAGCUGUGUUUUCACACACUCCCACUGGCUGCAGACCAGAAUUGAGGAGCAGUCUGACACUCCCCAAGAGCAAUGUUUC
RNAcentral lists this long non-coding RNA (1099 nucleotides) under Vulpes vulpes (red fox). RNAcentral describes it as "lncRNA (ENSVVUG00000011127.1)". The record is from RNAcentral. Lineage: Eukaryota; Metazoa; Chordata; Mammalia; Carnivora; Canidae.